RNAcentral lists this long non-coding RNA (571 nucleotides) under Apteryx haastii (Great spotted kiwi). Its description in RNAcentral is "lncRNA (ENSAHAG00000006017.1)". Lineage: Eukaryota; Metazoa; Chordata; Aves; Apterygiformes; Apterygidae. The record is from RNAcentral.
AUGCRUCCUGCCUGUCUCCUACACGUCCCAUGCGUGCCUCCUACGUGUUGUGUCCCAUAUGUAUCCCCUACAUCCCAUGCACAUCUCCCACAUGUUCCAUGGGUGUCUCCUGCCUGUCCCAUGCAUGACUCCUCUAUCCCACAUUUCCUGCAUGUCCCAGGUGUGCCUCUGUCCUCUCCGGCAUCCCACACAUCUUCUGUCUCCUACAUGUUCCUUGUGUGUUUCCAUGUCCCUGGUGAGUCCUCUGUGCCCCAUGUGUCUCCCAUACCCCAUCCCUUAAACAUCCGUAUGUGCUGGUGUCCUGUGUCUCCCCUGGCGCUGUGUCCCCUACACAUCCAUGUGUGUCUGUGUCCUGUCUCCCGUGUCCCUGUCUCCUACACAUCCAUGCCUGCUGUGUCCUGUCUCCUGCGCCCUUGUGUCCCCACACGUCCACGUGUGCCUGCGUCCUGCGUCUCCUACACGUCCCUGUCUCUCCCACAUGUCCCACGUGUGACCCUUGCGUCUUCCACACGUCCCAUAUGUGUCCCCUGUGCCCCACGCAUGCCCCAGACGUGUCCCGCUCGUGACUCUC